AGGUAAGCUACUAAGAGCGAAUGGUGGAUGCCUUGACUGGUAAAGGCGAUGAAGGACGUACUAGACUGCGAUAAGCUACGGGGAGCUGUCAAGAAGCUUUGAUCCGUAGAUUUCCGAAUGGGGCAACCCAAUGUAUAGAGAUAUACAUUACCUAUAUAGGAGCGAACGAGGGGAAUUGAAACAUCUUAGUACCCUCAGGAAAAGAAAUCAAUAGAGAUUGCGUCAGUAGCGGCGAGCGAAAGCGCAAGAGGGCAAACCCAGUGCUUGCACUGGGGGUUGUAGGACUGCAAUGUGCAAGAGGUAAGUUUAGCAGAACAUUCUGGAAAGUAUAACCAUAGAGGGUGAUAGUCCCGUAUGCGAAAAACAAACCUUAGCUAGCAGUAUCCUGAGUAGGGCGGGACACGAGGAAUCCUGUCUGAAUCCGGGUCGACCACGAUCCAACCCUAAAUACUAAUACCAGAUCGAUAGUGCACAAGUACCGUGAGGGAAAGGUGAAAAGAACUGAGGUGAUCAGAGUGAAAUAGAACCUGAAACCAUUUGCUUACAAUCAUUCAGAGCCCUAUGUAGCAAUACAGGGUGAUGGACUGCCUUUUGCAUAAUGAGCCUGCGAGUUGUGGUGUCUGGCAAGGUUAAGCAAACGCGAAGCCGUAGCGAAAGCGAGUCUGAAUAGGGCGCUUAGUCAGAUGCUGCAGACCCGAAACGAAGUGAUCUAUCCAUGAGCAAGUUGAAGCUAGUGUAAGAACUAGUGGAGGACUGAACCCAUAGGCGUUGAAAAGCCCCGGGAUGACUUGUGGAUAGGGGUGAAAGGCCAAUCAAACUUCGUGAUAGCUGGUUCUCUCCGAAAUAUAUUUAGGUAUAGCGUUGUGUCGUAAUAUAAGGGGGUAGAGCACUGAAUGGGCUAGGGCAUACACCAAUGUACCAAACCCUAUCAAACUCCGAAUACCUUAUAUGUAAUCACAGCAGUCAGGCGGCGAGUGAUAAAAUCCGUCGUCAAGAGGGAAACAACCCAGACUACCAGCUAAGGUCCCUAAGUCUUACUUAAGUGGAAAACGAUGUGAAGUUACUUAAACAACCAGGAGGUUGGCUUAGAAGCAGCCAUCCUUUAAAGAAAGCGUAAUAGCUCACUGGUCUAGUGAUUUUGCGCGGAAAAUAUAACGGGGCUAAAGUAAGUACCGAAGCUGUAGACUUAGUUUACUAAGUGGUAGGAGAGCGUUCUAUUUGCGUCGAAGGUAUACCGGUAAGGAGUGCUGGAGCGAAUAGAAGUGAGCAUGCAGGCAUGAGUAGCGAUAAUUAAUGUGAGAAUCAUUAACGCCGUAAACCCAAGGUUUCCUACGCGAUGCUCGUCAUCGUAGGGUUAGUCGGGUCCUAAGUCGAGUCCGAAAGGGGUAGACGAUGGCAAAUUGGUUAAUAUUCCAAUACCAA
Molecule: ribosomal RNA, 1422 nt
Filed under: Campylobacter jejuni
Lineage: Bacteria; Pseudomonadati; Campylobacterota; Epsilonproteobacteria; Campylobacterales; Campylobacteraceae
Description: partial 23S ribosomal RNA
Rfam family: Bacterial large subunit ribosomal RNA
Source: RNAcentral